GUCCACGCUGUAAACGAUGGGUGCUAGCUGUGGUGGGUAUUGACCCCUGCCGUGGCGACGCUAACGCAAUAAGCACCCCGCCUGGGGAGUACGGUCGCAAGAUUAAAACUCAAAGGAAUUGACGGGGGCCCCGCACAAGCGGUGGAGCAUGUGGUUUAAUUCGACGCAACGCGCAGAACCUUACCCAGACUUGACAUCCACGGAAACCUGCAGAAAUGUGGGAGUGCCCGCAAGGGAGCCGUGAGACAGGUGCUGCAUGGCUGUCGU
Molecule: ribosomal RNA, 267 nt
Filed under: uncultured bacterium
Lineage: Bacteria
Description: partial 16S ribosomal RNA
Rfam family: Bacterial small subunit ribosomal RNA
Source: RNAcentral